RNAcentral lists this unclassified non-coding RNA (218 nucleotides) under Bombus terrestris (buff-tailed bumblebee). RNAcentral describes it as "misc RNA ENSBTSG00005031724.1". The record is from RNAcentral. Lineage: Eukaryota; Metazoa; Arthropoda; Insecta; Hymenoptera; Apidae.
AACGUUAUACGAUAUACCGUAAUAGUAUAUAACGUUAUACGUUAUAACGUAAUACUAUAUAACGUUAUACGUUAUAACGUAAUACUAUAUAACGUUAUACGUUAUACCGUAAUAGUAUAUAACGUUAUACGUUAUAACGUAAUACUAUAUAACGUUAUACGUUAUAACGUAGUACUAUAUAACGUUAUACGUUAUAACGUAAUACUAUAUACCGUCGU